GACGAACGCUGGCGGCGUGCUUAACACAUGCAAGUCGAACGGAAAGGCCCUGCUUUUGUGGGGUGCUCGAGUGGCGAACGGGUGAGUAACACGUGAGUAACCUGCCCUUGACUUUGGGAUAACUUCAGGAAACUGGGGCUAAUACCGGAUAGGAGCUCCUGCUGCAUGGUGGGGGUUGGAAAGUUUCGGCGGUUGGGGAUGGACUCGCGGCUUAUCAGCUUGUUGGUGGGGUAGUGGCUUACCAAGGCUUUGACGGGUAGCCGGCCUGAGAGGGUGACCGGACACAUUGGGACUGAGAUACGGCCCAGACUACUACGGGAGGCAGAAGUGGGGAAUAUUGCACAAUGGGCGGAAGCCUGAUGCAGCAACGCCGCGUGCGGGAUGACGGCCUUCGGGUUGUAAACCGCUUUCGCCUGUGACGAAGCGUGAGUGACGGUAAUGGGUAAAGAAGCACCGGCUAACUACGUG
This 468-nucleotide ribosomal RNA is filed under the name uncultured bacterium. RNAcentral describes it as "partial 16S ribosomal RNA". It matches the Rfam family "Bacterial small subunit ribosomal RNA", at positions 28 to 507 of the family's 1533-position model. The record is from RNAcentral.